CUACGGAGGGUGCAAGCGUUAUUCGGAAUCACUGGGCGUAAAGGACGCGUAGGCGGGUUGGCAAGUCAGAUGUGAAAUCCUACAGCUUAACUGUAGAACUGCAUUUGAAACUGCUAACCUAGAGUAUGAGAGGGGGAGAUGGAAUUAGUGGUGUAGGGGUAAAAUCCGUAGAUAUCACUAGGAAUACCGAAAGCGAAGGCGAUUUCCUGGAACAUAACUGACGCUAAGGCGUGAAAGCGUGGGGAGCAAACAGCAUUAGAAACCCUAGUAGUCC
This 274-nucleotide ribosomal RNA is filed under the name uncultured bacterium. RNAcentral's name for it is "partial 16S ribosomal RNA". It matches the Rfam family "Bacterial small subunit ribosomal RNA", at positions 523 to 796 of the family's 1533-position model. The record is from RNAcentral.